AGGGUGCUGAAACUCAUCAAGAUGGGAAAAAACAGGAUGUCAUGCAUCACAAGUGCUCCAGAAAGUCCCAUGGAAGCUGCACCCUAGGUUGUACAUCUGAUAAUCAUGUUGACACCAUGAGAGGAUAACCGUUUGUAUUAUAGUGGCAGUGACUGCACUUCAGGGACUUCCACUGGCUAACUAUAGCGUCCCUCCAUGUCAUUUCCUCGCAGGAGGGGUGAACUCCACUUCAACUAUUUAUGGACCAAAUCACUGUCAGAGGAUGAUGAACGACUCUCGCUGGGCGUGAGCUGGAAACUCUUCUGUGUGUUGGCAAAUACUCAGAUAAGGAAAAGUCAUAAAAACAAUUGUAUGACCCUAAAGAAUGCACAGGCUCAAGUAAGCUUAAGAUCCGCAUACCUCUUCUUCUUAAAAGACAUUCAUAUGAACAAUUUUUUUCUACAACUUAAAGAAAUAGUGUUACAUUUUUGGUAAUACAGAUAUCUGCUUAAUAGUUAGCUACAGUUAGCUUAGCUUAGCAUAAAAACUAAAGCAGUUAUGGUGCUGACUUAUAAAACCACAAUUUGUCAUUUUUUUCACUAUGAUUUUAAUGCGGAAUGACAAACAGAAUUUAAUGGACUAAUUAAUUAGUGAGCUUUAGAGGUGCUGUAAGGUAGAUUAGUUAGUUGUUUGCCCCUGUUUCCAGUCUUUGUGUACAGCUAAGCUAACCGUCUCCUGACUGGAUGUUGUACAGACAUGAAAGUGGCAUCAAUCUUCUCGUAUAAAACUGAAAACACUCCCCUAGCACACACUGGAUGCAUCGUGCUGCAACUCAAUGACGGCGGCUACAGCAAUGGCUACAGAGUUCUCUCUCUACAUCAAUGGUAAGAAAAGGAGUCGAGCUGCCAUAGGAGCUGCUGCGGGAGCUGGUAUGUACAAGCAGAGAGCAAGUGGGGGGAAAAUGCAUU
Molecule: long non-coding RNA, 947 nt
Organism: Epinephelus fuscoguttatus (brown-marbled grouper)
Lineage: Eukaryota; Metazoa; Chordata; Actinopteri; Perciformes; Serranidae
Exons: 3
Source: RefSeq, a predicted model, not a curated record